UGCCUACGGGGCGCAGCAGUGGGGAAUAUUGGACAAUGGGCGCAAGCCUGAUCCAGCCAUACCGCGUGGGUGAAGAAGGCCUUCGGGUUGUAAAGCCCUUUUGUUGGGAAAGAAAAGCAGUCGGCUAAUACCCGGUUGUUCUGACGGUACCCAAAGAAUAAGCACCGGCUAACUUCGCGCCAGCAGCCGCGGUAAUACGAAGGGUGCAAGCGUUACUCGGAGUUACUGGGCGUAAAGCGUGCGUAGGUGGUUGUUUAAGUCUGUUGUGAAAGCCCUGGGCUCAACCUGGGAAUUGCAGUGGAUAC
Molecule: ribosomal RNA, 305 nt
Filed under: uncultured bacterium
Lineage: Bacteria
Description: bacterial SSU rRNA
Rfam family: Bacterial small subunit ribosomal RNA
Source: RNAcentral